AUUGAACGCUGGCGGCAUGCCUUACACAUGCAAGUCGAACGGUAACAGGUCUUCGGAUGCUGACGAGUGGCGAACGGGUGAGUAAUACAUCGGAACGUGCCUAGUAGUGGGGGAUAACUACUCGAAAGAGUGGCUAAUACCGCAUGAGAUCUACGGAUGAAAGCAGGGGAUCGCAAGACCUUGUGCUACUAGAGCGGCCGAUGGCAGAUUAGGUAGUUGGUGGGAUAAAAGCUUACCAAGCCGACGAUCUGUAGCUGGUCUGAGAGGACGAUCAGCCAGACUGGGACGGAGCAACGGACCGGACUCCUACGGGAGGCAGCAGUGGGGAAUUUUGGACAAUGGGCGAAAGCCUGAUCCAGCAAUGCCGCGUGCAGGAUGAAGGCCUUCGGGUUGUAAACUGCUUUUGUACGGAACGAAAAGCCCUGGGUUAAUACCCUGGGGUCAUGACGGUACCGUAAGAAUAAGCACCGGCUAACUACGUGCCAGCCGCCGCCGUAA
This 498-nucleotide ribosomal RNA is filed under the name uncultured bacterium. RNAcentral describes it as "partial 16S ribosomal RNA". It matches the Rfam family "Bacterial small subunit ribosomal RNA", at positions 30 to 523 of the family's 1533-position model. The record is from RNAcentral.